UACGGAGGGUGCAAGUGUUAUCCGGAAUCAUUGGGUUUAAAGGGUCCGCAGGCGGUCUUAUAAGUCAGUGGUGAAAGCCUACAGUUCAACUGUAGAACUGCCAUUGAUACUGUAAGACUUGAAUUCGAUCGAAGUGGGCGGAAUAUGACAUGUAGCGGUGAAAUGCUUAGAUAUGUCAUAGAACACCGAUAGCGAAGGCAGCUCACGUAGGUCUGGAUUGACGCU
This 225-nucleotide ribosomal RNA is filed under the name uncultured bacterium. Its description in RNAcentral is "partial 16S ribosomal RNA". It matches the Rfam family "Bacterial small subunit ribosomal RNA", at positions 524 to 747 of the family's 1533-position model. The record is from RNAcentral.